RNAcentral lists this ribosomal RNA (407 nucleotides) under uncultured bacterium. RNAcentral's name for it is "bacterial SSU rRNA". It matches the Rfam family "Bacterial small subunit ribosomal RNA", at positions 370 to 774 of the family's 1533-position model. The record is from RNAcentral.
AAUGCCCGCAAGGGUGACCCAGCAACGCCGCGUGGAGGAUGAAUGUCGUAAGAUUGUAAACUCCUGUUAGAGNGGAAGAAUAGUACCGGUUGGACCGGUAUAUGACUGUACCCUCAGAGAAAGCCCCGGCUAACUACGUGCCAGCAGCCGCGGUAAUACGUAGGGGGCAAGCGUUGUCCGGAUUUACUGGGUGUAAAGGGCGCGCAGGCGGGAUAAAAAGUCAGUGGUGAAAUCCUACAGCUUAACUGUAGAACGGCCUUUGAUACUUUUAUUCUUGAGUUCGGGAGAGAGAGACGGAAUUCCAGGUGUAGUGGUGAAAUACGUAGAUAUCUGGAAGAACACCAGUUGCGAAGGCGGUCUCUUGGUCCGACACUGACGCUGAGGCGCGAAAGCGUGGGGAGCAAACA